Molecule: ribosomal RNA, 229 nt
Filed under: uncultured bacterium
Lineage: Bacteria
Description: partial 16S ribosomal RNA
Rfam family: Bacterial small subunit ribosomal RNA
Source: RNAcentral
UCCGUAGGCGGGCUAAUAAGUCAGGGGUGAAAUCCCACAGCUUAACUGUGGAACUGCCUUUGAUACUGUUAGUCUUGAGUUAUAUGGAAGUAGAUAGAAUGUGUAGUGUAGCGGUGAAAUGCAUAGAUAUUACACAGAAUACCGAUUGCGAAGGCAGUCUACUACGUAUAUACUGACGCUAAUGGAAGAAAGCGUGGGGAGCGAACAGGAUUAGAUACCCUGGUAGUCC